GUCCAGACUCCUACGGGAGGCAGCAGUGGGGAAUAUUGCACAAUGGGGGAAACCCUGAUGCAGCGACGCCGCGUGAGUGAAGAAGUAUUUCGGUAUGUAAAGCUCUAUCAGCAGGGAAGAUAAUGACGGUACCUGAGUAAGAAGCCCCGGCUAACUACGUGCCAGCAGCCGCGGUAAUACGUAGGGGGCAAGCGUUAUCCGGAUUUACUGGGUGUAAAGGGAGCGUAGACGGCAUGGCAAGUCUGAAGUGAAAGCCCGGGGCUCAACCGCGGGACUGCUUUGGAAACUGUUAAGCUGGAGUGCAGGAGAGGUAAGUGGAAUUCCUAGUGUAGCGGUGAAAUGCGUAGAUAUUAGGAGGAACACCAGUGGCGAAGGCGGCUUACUGGACUGUAACUGACGUUGAGGCUCGAAAGCGUGGGGAGCAAACAGGAUUAGAUACCCGGGUAUG
Molecule: ribosomal RNA, 448 nt
Filed under: uncultured bacterium
Lineage: Bacteria
Description: bacterial SSU rRNA
Rfam family: Bacterial small subunit ribosomal RNA
Source: RNAcentral